Molecule: long non-coding RNA, 1184 nt
Filed under: Nicotiana benthamiana
Lineage: Eukaryota; Viridiplantae; Streptophyta; Magnoliopsida; Solanales; Solanaceae
Description: long non-coding RNA (NBEN_LNC015776)
Source: RNAcentral
AUUCUUCUUGUCCAAAUGGAGCCCAAUUUCAAAUCCACCACAAAGGCCCAAUUUCAAGACCCUUAUUCUUCAUAAUCUACACAAAAAACAAAUCCUAGAGGACAUCUUUAGGUACCCAUGGCUACCAUCUUCAACCUUAGAAACGAAGGCAAAAAAAAAAAAACCCUAAAAAGGAUCUAACAUAAGACACUUGCGGCUGCCUUCUUCUUCUUCUUCUUUGACAAACAAAGGAAAAAAAACCCUAGCUAAACCCUGACACUCCUAAGCUGCCGGCCUGAUCUCCUCUCGACACCACCAGAGCCGCCGCCGCUCCUCACCACUCACACAUACACAUAUCUUCACCUCCGCUGGAAACCAGAUGCCAGACAACCACCACUCCAACUCCAUAACUAUUGCUCCUCCAUGGCUCUUGAAUAAUCACCAGUCGUCCCUUUGUUUCAGCCAUGACCCGCCACCCCUCAACCUAAAAACCCGUCGGACAGAAGACCAGCACAGCCACUGGAACGAGACACCCCCCUUAAUUUUCGUCCUCUUCACCCUGAUCUCCUCUUCUAAAAAACAAGAACCAGUCGUCGCUCUGUUCAGUCGCUAAAGUAAUGUUCUUAGGAAUGAGUGUCUUAGGUUGGCGCGACUUUGUUUGUGUGCGCUUCCAUCAGAAAAUGCUUUUUCAGCAAUUUUCUAUGCUCUAAUGCCCUUUUUUUCAUUUUCUAUACGCUGUGCUUUGGUUGAAUUUUUCAGCGAUUUGCAUCUUCUCGUUCUAUUCCUGUCGUUCUUUUUCGGGAAAUACUGUCCUUGCUCCUUUGAGACCAUCUUCAGUCAUUAAUUGGCAUUUGAAUUUCUGGUGAGUUCCAAGUUCGUCCAAAGUCAUAGUGUGAGGUUUCUGGGCAUAUUCACGGUUCCUACUCGAGCUUUAAGUACUGUAUUUGUUCGUGAUUGUGUUCUCUACCGAAGUUCAUUUUCAUAUUUGUUCAUUUGAGCCCAGAAAAUUAUUGACAGAAGUCAUCUUUUGAGAUUCAUUUCUAACUCUUAUGCUUUAAAUGUGAGUUUUGAUUGCUAUAUGUGUGAUUGAUGGCAUUGCAUUUGCUGUGGGCUUUGCAGACAAAAAGCUAUUGUCUUUUGUCUAUUUUGUUAGGUAGUUUGCUGUGUUUCUUAUUUGUUUUUCUUUUGGUCUUGUAGAAGUGGGG